RNAcentral lists this ribosomal RNA (490 nucleotides) under uncultured bacterium. RNAcentral's name for it is "partial 16S ribosomal RNA". It matches the Rfam family "Bacterial small subunit ribosomal RNA", at positions 28 to 507 of the family's 1533-position model. The record is from RNAcentral.
GAUGAACGCUAGCUACAGGCUUAACACAUGCAAGUCGCAGGGUAACAUGAGGAAAGCUUGCUUUCCUUGAUGACGACUGGCGCACGGGUGAGUAACGCGUAUCCAACCUUCCCAUAACUACGGGAUAACCCGUUGAAAGACGGCCUAAUACCGUAUGACAUCGUUUGCUGACAUCAAAUAACGAUUAAAGGUUUAGCGGUUAUGGAUGGGGAUGCGUCUGAUUAGCUUGUUGGCGGGGUAACGGCCCACCAAGGCGACGAUCAGUAGGGGUUCUGAGAGGAAGGUCCCCCACAUUGGAACUGCGACACGGUCCAAACUCCUACGGGAGGCAGCAGUGAGGAAUAUUGGUCAAUGGGCGAGAGCCUGAACCAGCCAAGUAGCGUGCAGGAUGACGGCCCUAUGGGUUGUAAACUGCUUUUAUGUGGGGAUAAAGUGCGUGACGUGUCAUGCAUUGCAGGUACCACAUGAAUAAGGACCGGCCAAUUCCGUG